Molecule: ribosomal RNA, 399 nt
Filed under: uncultured bacterium
Lineage: Bacteria
Description: bacterial SSU rRNA
Rfam family: Bacterial small subunit ribosomal RNA
Source: RNAcentral
CUUCAUGAUUUCUUCGGAUUGAAUAAAGGGACGGAAAGUGGCGAACGGGCGAGUAACGCGUGGGUAACCAACCUUAAACUGGGGGACAACACCGGGAAACCGGUGCUAAUACCGCAUAUAUCCCUGUGUGGCAUCACAUAGGGAGGAAAGCUCCGGCGGUUUAAGACGGACCCGCGUCCAAUUAGCUAGUAGGUGGGGUAAAGGCCUACCUAGGCAACGAUUGGUAGCCGGGCUGAGAGGCUGAACGGCCGCAUUGGGACUGAGACACGGCCCAGACUCCUACGGGAGGCAGCAGUGGGGAAUAUUGCGCAAUGGGGGAAACCCUGACGCAGCGACGCCGCGUGAAGGAUGAAGGUUUUCGGAUCGUAAACUUCUUUGAUCGGGGACGAAAGAGGACGG